UUUUCGGUCAAGGGUGUACAAGUAGAUGCGCUCCCCUGCCACAACCUCCAAACAAGCUCUCAAUAACAAAUAUGGGAAGAACAAGGUGGUAGUGAGAC
This 98-nucleotide small RNA is filed under the name Ochotona princeps (American pika). Its description in RNAcentral is "7SK RNA (ENSOPRG00000022226.1)". Lineage: Eukaryota; Metazoa; Chordata; Mammalia; Lagomorpha; Ochotonidae. The record is from RNAcentral.